CCUCACACGUGUUGCAGCCUCGUUGGGGUCAGAGUGUGUCGCAGUGUACGAAAGGAAGGAUGUGCCCCGCCACCCCUGCCGCCAGUGUGCGUGUGCUGCUGCUAGCGGUCCUGGCGGCUUCCUGAGUCCGUUUUACAGUGCCACGGAUCAGUUGUUAGUGCCCUUGGCAAGGUAACAGCGUCAGUGAAGCGUUGCACAGUGUCUAUCUAGAGAAAGCAGUGACGGUGCUGAGUGAACUGUGCAAACAGGAGUCAACAGUGUCAGCGGAGAGUUAAAUACUGCUUGUGGACAGCAAACAGUGCCAGUCAGAAGCUAACAAUGCCGAAGAAGAAUAAGCAGUGCCAUUGGGAAACUAACAGUGCCAAAAGAGUAAACAGUGCUAAUGGGAAAUAAACGGUGUCAUUGGAGACUACACAGUGCCAUUAGGGAGUGAACAGAGCCACGGAGGAGCGAAUAGUGCCAAAAGAAGUAAACAUUGCCAGAAGAAGAUGACGAUGUCAGUGGGGAAGUUCUAUAGAAGUGAAGCAGCGUCAUAACUGGAACAUUGUAUACCAGUGAGUCGAUGCUCAGUGACAUGCAACUAUCACAGUGCAGCUCUUAAAACUCGGGCCUCCACUUACCGCUUCACCACUCUAGCCUCCUCU
Molecule: long non-coding RNA, 644 nt
Organism: Scylla paramamosain (green mud crab)
Lineage: Eukaryota; Metazoa; Arthropoda; Malacostraca; Decapoda; Portunidae
Exons: 3
Source: RefSeq, a predicted model, not a curated record